UACGUAGGGGGCGAGCGUUGUCCGGAAUUACUGGCGUAAAGCGUGCGCAGGCGGUUAUGCCAGACAGAGGUGAAAUCCCCGGGCUCAACCUGGGAACUGCCUUUGUGACUGCAUAGCUAGAGUACGGUAGAGGGGGAUGGAAUUCCGCGUGUAGCAGUGAAAUGCGUAGAUAUGCGGAGGAACACCGAUGGCGAAGGCAGUCCCCUGGGCCUGUACUGACGCUCAUGCACGAAAGCGUGGGGAGCAAACAGG
Molecule: ribosomal RNA, 252 nt
Filed under: uncultured bacterium
Lineage: Bacteria
Description: partial 16S ribosomal RNA
Rfam family: Bacterial small subunit ribosomal RNA
Source: RNAcentral